Molecule: ribosomal RNA, 465 nt
Filed under: uncultured bacterium
Lineage: Bacteria
Description: partial 16S ribosomal RNA
Rfam family: Bacterial small subunit ribosomal RNA
Source: RNAcentral
GACGAACGCUGGCGGCGUGCUUAACACAUGCAAGUCGUACGGUAAGGCCCUUUCGGGGGUACACGAGUGGCGAACGGGUGAGUAACACGGGAGUAACCUGCCCACAACUUUGGGAUAACGCUAGGAAACUGGUGCUAAUACUGGAUAUGUGCUCCUGCUGCAUGGUGGGGGUUGGAAAGCUCCGGCGGUUGUGGAUGGACUCGCGGCCUAUCAGCUUGUUGGUGGGGUAGUGGCCUACCAAGGCGGCGACGGGUAGCCGGCCUGAGAGGGUGACCGGCCACAUUGGGACUGAGAUACGGCCCAGACUCCUACGGGAGGCAGCAGUGGGGAAUAUUGCACAAUGGGCGCAAGCCUGAUGCAGCAACGCCGCGUGCGGGAUGACGGCCUUCGGGUUGUAAACCGCGUUCAGCAGGGACGAAGCUUUUUGUGACGGUACCUGCAGAAGAAGCACCGGCUAACUACGUG